Molecule: ribosomal RNA, 119 nt
Filed under: Lottia gigantea (owl limpet)
Lineage: Eukaryota; Metazoa; Mollusca; Gastropoda; Lottiidae
Source: RNAcentral
GUCAACGACCAUACCACGUUGAAAGCACCAGUUCUCGUCCGAUCACUGAAUUUAAGCAGCGCCGAGCUCGGUUAGUACUUGGAUGGGGGACCUUCUGGGAACACCGAGUGCUGUAGACG